GAUCCUGGUUCAGGAUAAACGCUGGCGGCGCACAUAAGACAUGCAAGUCGAACGAACUUAACCAUUAGUUUACUAUUGGAGCGGUUAGUGGCGGACUGGUGAGUAACACGUAAGCAACCUGCCUAUCAGAGGGGAACAACAGUUAGAAAUGACUGCUAAUACCGCAUAUGCCUUAGAAUCACAUGGUUCAAAAGGGAAAGGAGCAAUCCGCUGAUAGAUGGGCUUGCGUCUGAUUAG
This 237-nucleotide ribosomal RNA is filed under the name uncultured bacterium. RNAcentral describes it as "partial 16S ribosomal RNA". It matches the Rfam family "Bacterial small subunit ribosomal RNA", at positions 15 to 244 of the family's 1533-position model. The record is from RNAcentral.